This 717-nucleotide ribosomal RNA is filed under the name Flavobacterium oncorhynchi. RNAcentral's name for it is "partial 16S ribosomal RNA". It matches the Rfam family "Bacterial small subunit ribosomal RNA", at positions 12 to 730 of the family's 1533-position model. The record is from RNAcentral. Lineage: Bacteria; Pseudomonadati; Bacteroidota; Flavobacteriia; Flavobacteriales; Flavobacteriaceae.
UUUGAUCNNNGCUCAGGAUGAACGCUAGCGGCAGGCUUAACACAUGCAAGUCGAGGGGUAUAGCACUUCGGUGCUAGAGACCGGCGCACGGGUGCGUAACGCGUAUGCAAUCUACCUUUUACAGGGGGAUAGCCCAGAGAAAUUUGGAUUAAUACCCCAUNGUAUAUUNGANNNGCAUCANCNNUNUAUUAAAGUCACAACGGUAAAAGAUGAGCAUGCGUCCCAUUAGNUAGAUGGUAAGGUAACGGCUUACCAUGGCUACGAUGGGUAGGGGUCNUNAGAGGGAGNUNCCCCACACUGGUACUNAGACACGGACCAGACUCNUACGGGAGGCAGCANUUAGGAAUAUUGGACAAUGGGGGCAAGCCUUAUCCAGCCCUGCCGGGUGCAGGAUGACGGUCCUAUGGAUUGUAAACUGCUUUUAUACGAGAAGAAACACUGAUUCGUGAAUCAGCUUGACGGUAUCGUAAGAAUAAGGAUCGGCUAACUCCGUGCCAGCAGCCGCGGUAAUACGGAGGAUCCAAGCGUUAUCCGGAAUCAUUGGGUUUAAAGGGUCCGUAGGCGGUCUAGUAAGUCAGUGGUGAAAGCCCAUCGCUCAACGGUGGAACGGCCAUUGAUACUGCUGGACUUGAAUUAUUAGGAAGUAACUAGAAUAUGUAGUGUAGCGGUGAAAUGCUUAGAGAUUACAUGGAAUACCAAUUGCGAAGGCAGGUUACU